RNAcentral lists this ribosomal RNA (494 nucleotides) under uncultured bacterium. RNAcentral's name for it is "partial 16S ribosomal RNA". It matches the Rfam family "Bacterial small subunit ribosomal RNA", at positions 28 to 506 of the family's 1533-position model. The record is from RNAcentral.
GACGAACGCUGGCGGCGUGCCUAAUACAUGCAAGUAGAACGCUGAAGGAGGAGCUUGCUCUUCUGGAUGAGUUGCGAACGGGUGAGUAACGCGUAGGUAACCUGCCUGGUAGCGGGGGAUAACUAUUGGAAACGAUAGCUAAUACCGCAUAACAGUAGAUGUUGCAUGACAUUUACUUAAAAGGUUCAAUUGCAUCACUACCAGAUGGACCUGCGUUGUAUUAGCUAUUUGGUGGGGUAACGGCUCACCAAGGCGACGAUACAUAGCCGACCUGAGAGGGUGAUCGGCGACACUGGGACUGAGACACGGCCCAGACUCCUACGGGAGGCAGCAGUAGGGAAUCUUCGGCAAUGGACGGAAGUCUGACCGAGCAACGCCGCGUGAGUGAAGAAGGUAUUCGGAUCGUAAAGCUCUGUUGUAAGAGAAGAACGAGUGUGAGAGUGGAAAGUUCAGACUGUGCAGGUAUCUUACCAGAAAGGGACGGCGAAUUACGG